AAUUGUCUUCUUCACAAUGCAUAAUUUAUAUGAUCGACUAACCAUCAUUAACCUCAAUAGUCGGGUGCAGAUGAAGACCCUGUUUUGGUUGCAUUGCACUCAUUUAUCUCAACAAAUUUUGAAUCAUCGGGUACAUCUGUGUUGUUCCUAUAUCAACUUGUACCGGGGAUCUCCAGUGCUGCAGUUACAGUACAGACCUAUCAUUUAGUUGAAUGUUAAAGCAAUGAUAGUUUUAUCAUUUUUAUCAGACUCCUCAUUUCUAGACAGUUUACUGUGAGCAGGCAUGAAUUAUGGAGUUUAGAUUUCUGUUUAAUAACCUGUGGUAUAAGGAAAUUAAGCACAUUGUGAUGCUCUGGGCUUCUAGAGGAGUUACGUAUGUUAAAUGGUAACUGUGAUGAGAUGAGACAGUUCUCGGGCUUUUGGACAUUGAGGGGGUGUCAGAAUGCAUUUCCUGUACCUCAGCAAGGUGUCUGUAUAAAUAAUGCAUGUGUGCUGCAGCCUUUUCAAUCACUGAUAUUGCACCCAGCUGAUGGGUGCUGAAGACAAGGGUGUUUGUUCCAUGCCGUUGAGCACCUAAUGACUGGGAAAGGUCACGCUGAUUUUCAGUUUUCUGUCGAAAGCUUGUGCGUAAAUGCUGCAGUGUAUGAAAUAGUAAUGCAGCUGCGUUGCUACUGCAGGUUAGACAUUCAAGCCACGUUUACACCUUUCUGAAGCCUCUCACAUUUCCUCCUGCAGUCAGCGCUUGUAUACCGAUCCUUUGCUGUAAUUCCUGAAUUGGCAAUAAUAUGCAAAGCAGAGGCUAGCUUCACUGAUGUCUCAUUUGUUGCUUAUUUAUAGCUAAUUCUGGGAAGACUUUUUGAAAGCGCGGUGAGUGAUUGCUCGGCUCUGUACAGUGACCAAGACAGCUCAACUUCAUGAUGUUUUGUGUACCUAAAGUGUUAGCAUAGAACACCGACCAAAAGACAUAACCGGCCACCAUGGACAGAAGUGCAUGCUCCAGGAGUGACUAAAUUUCCCUUGACAGAAUGUUCAACCUGAAACAUGAAGGCUCAGCACCCUCUUAAGAGAUGUGACAUUGGUGUUUCUAUUUUUUUUUUUUUUAUUCACUACCAACAGCUUUAUGGUAUAAUCUUUACAGCUGGCUCUCAGAAUCUGCCGAUAAAAUCUAAAGGGCUAAAGACAAAAUUAGAGAAAUUAUUACUUUUCGCUGCAAAUUACAUUCAAUUUUUUUUCAAAUUGCCAAAAUGUUUUUGUUUUUUAAAUGUUUUUUUCUUGUAUUUGCAAAUUUGCAGGCAAGGCCAAACAUGUUGUAUGAUUGAAUCAAAUCCUUGUGCAAAGUGAUUAAAAGCAGCACUUGGCUGCCCACAUCCUGUAUUAAGAGGAAACAGCAGAGUAAUCCUGAUUACACCAACCAGAUUUCUGCUAAAAGCAAAAGCCAAAUGAUAAUCUUUCACAUUAUUUAAAUAAUUGGAAAUUACUCUGCAUCAGUAGGAAAGUUUAUUAAUAAAUGACAGCAUUCCAAGGGGAUUGCAGUUAUUUUUAAAUGUUGCCAGCUCCCCUGAUUGUUUUGUCCUGACAUUUUGAACAUUAACCUUGGUUGUCUCGGUUUUAAAUGAAAAUUGAAUUUUCUAUUAAAGGUGAGCUUGGAAAAACUUGCUUUUAAAUUGAAAAUUAAAUAUUUGCAAUGAGGAAAACUUACCUGAGUAAAAUUAAAAGCAGUUGGCUUGCAAGAUAUUUUUAUUUUUAAUUGUAGGCUAAAUGAUGCGAAAACAUAUCUGAAAAGCAUAACAACGUGUAUGCUACUGUAGGAAUUAUCCUACCAAGGACUGUAGGUGAAUUAUUUCUGAGUAGUUUUUCACUGAACCAGUGUGACAAUGGGCAUGCACGACCGAGUUGUGUUCUCUUUUCAGCCACCAAGAGUUUCCAGUCACUGCAUGACUCUUGUUCUCAUUCACAAAGAAACAAGUCGGUGACCGAGAGUUUGAAGUCGGAACCAGUCACUGCAUGACUCAUUCUCGUUUGUUAGGAACUGCAGGCAGUAAUGGAGCUUCAGAAGUCAGAAUCACUCGCUGCAUGACUCUGGUUCUCGUUCACGUGAGUCUGAACGAGAGCAGUGAAGGAACUGUUGAACAAAUCCGUGAAAUAAUCCUUUUAGGGUCAAAUGGUUUUUGUCCCUGAAAGGAACCGUAACAUUCACCACAUGCAACAUUAGUAGCGAUUUCAGUGACUUGAUUUGCGCAUGAUUCGAAUAUGUUUUGUGCAGUCCUUUCAAUGUCGAUCUACUUCAGAGCUCACUGGGAAGUCAUUUAAAGACUAGAUCUGAAGAGAAACGAAUCUGUUUCAAAAUGGAGAACUGCAUUUUGAAACAAAACUAUAAAGGUGAAUUCCUAGUGCACUCCUUGAUGCAUUGUGUCAAACAAAUCCUAUGAAGCAGCUCUUACUUGUGCAAACAAGGCUUUAACCAGUUUUUUCUAUUGACCUAUUAAUUUGAAAGGCCAAUUCCAUCAAUGGCAAUCAAGCAGUACUGCUCCCUCAGUGACAGGCACCUUAGCACUCAUCUGUGCAUUGCAGUGAGUUUAAUGAAUCAUUGUAUGUUUCCUCUUUUUAAAAAGCAUUCAUUCAUUUUACACAUUACAUAACAAUCAUAAAAAUUUGAUCGCUCUUUCAAAUGGCUGUCAAAAUUUUCAGGUACAGUAGCCUGUAUUUUUACAUGUAUAUUUACAUUAAGAUUAAGCAAGAAAUCUUUUACGAUGGAAAUGCUGCAAGGAGUAAUUUACAAGCUCGUUUUUUCUUUGAUGGGCUGGGAUGAUUGGCACCUCAUCAUCCUACUUCCAGUGCUGUCAAGUCGAUUUUUAGUGGUAGGUUUUUUCUGUUCAGCUUACAUUUUCUUUUAUUAGGUACUGUGUUUUUGUUGAAAUUAUGCAACAGUUGGUGGGGUAGUUUAAAUGUGAAGAAACACAGAUAGUUAUUAUUUGAAAUUAGAAAUGUUUUUUUUUAAAAUGUGGUGCAUUUUUUUUUCAUUAAACAGAUAUGUGAACGUAGGCUACAUUACUCAAUACUGUAUACUGAUUUAAAUUUAAUUAAUUAGAUUUCUGCGCUAUUGCUCCAAUGGUCUGGUGCUGUGGCUUACUACUGCAGCUAUUUCUCGGUUUCAUCUUUUUUCUAUAAAGUUCAAAAUCAUGUAUGAUUUGCUUUGUCUUUUCAUUAUUUUGCUCUUACUAUGUGAGAUUGUAUUUUUAUAGGCCACUCAGUUAAUGCUGGCCCUGUAAAGGCAACAUAAUGGUCUUCGGGUAAAUUUUUUUCAAAGAUUCAGUUGCUGGUUGCACCCACUGAAUAAUCCUAAAUUAAAUGCACAUGUGUAGCACAAAUCAUACUUCAUACAUCAACUAUUUCCAGGUGUUUGGAUAACGUGAGUCUUCCUGUGGCUGUUAUAUUGCCAAGGGCAUUGAGUGUGCAGUUGAACUGCAGUUUAAAAUGAACACAACAG
Long non-coding RNA from Anguilla rostrata (American eel), 3487 nucleotides. RefSeq lists it as uncharacterized. The transcript has 2 exons. Lineage: Eukaryota; Metazoa; Chordata; Actinopteri; Anguilliformes; Anguillidae. The record is from RefSeq and is a predicted model, not a curated record.